AACUUAAGCAUAUCAAUAAGCGGAGGAAAAGAAACCCACAGGGAUUGCCUUAGUAACGGCGAGUGAAGCGGCAAUAGCUCAAAUUUGAAAGCUGGCGUCUUCGACGUCCGCGUUGUAAUUUGUAGAGGAUGCUUCGGCGAAGACUCCUGCCUAAGUCCCCUGGAACGGGGCGUCAUAGAGGGUGAGAAUCCCGUAUGUGGCGGGCAGUCUAAGCCAUGUGAAGCUCCUUCGACGAGUCGAGUUGUUUGGGAAUGCAGCUCUAAAUGGGAGGUAAAUUUCUUCUAAAGCUAAAUAUUGGCCAGAGACCGAUAGCGCACAAGUAGAGUGAUCGAAAGAUGAAAAGCACUUUGGAAAGAGAGUUAAAAAGUACGUGAAAUUGUUGAAAGGGAAGCGCUUGCAACCAGACUCGCUCGUAGUUGCUCAGCCGGCCUCUUGGCCGGUGUACUCUUCUACGAUCGGGCCAGCAUCAGUUCGGGCGGCAGGAUAAAGGUGUCGGGAAUGUAGCACCCUUCGGGGUGUGUUAUAGCCCGGCGCGGAAUGCUGCCAGCCUGGACUGAGGAUCUCGCUUCGGCAAGGAUGCUGGCGUAAUGGUUGUAAGCGGCCCGUCUUGAAACACGGACCAAGGAGUCUAACAUCUAUGCGAGUGUUUGGGUGUCAAACCCAUGCGCGUAAUGAAAGUGAACGGAGGUGGGAACCCCUCACGGGGUGCACCAUCGACCGAUCCUGAUGUCUUCGGAUGGAUUUGAGUAAGAGCAUAGCCGUUGGGACCCGAAAGAUGGUGAACUAUGCCUGAAUAGGGUGAACCCCGAGGAAACUCUGGUGGAGGCUCGCAGCGGUUCUGACGUGCAAAUCGAUCGUCAAAUUUGGGUAUAGGGGCGAAAGACUAA
Molecule: ribosomal RNA, 887 nt
Filed under: Otthia spiraeae
Lineage: Eukaryota; Fungi; Ascomycota; Dothideomycetes; Botryosphaeriales; Botryosphaeriaceae
Description: eukaryotic LSU rRNA
Rfam family: Eukaryotic large subunit ribosomal RNA
Source: RNAcentral